Molecule: long non-coding RNA, 1523 nt
Filed under: Homo sapiens (human)
Lineage: Eukaryota; Metazoa; Chordata; Mammalia; Primates; Hominidae
Description: non-protein coding lnc-LY96-4:1
Source: RNAcentral
CGAGUAGCUGGGACUACAGGCAUGUGCCACCACACCCUGCUAAUUUUUUGUAUUUUUAGUAGAGACGGGGUUCCCCAUGUUGGCCAGGAUGGUCUCAAUCUCUUGACCUCAUGAUCCACCCACUUCAGCCUCCCAAAGUGCUGGGAUUACAGGCAUGAGCCACCAUACCUGGCCGGUUUGUUACCUUUUGAAGAAGAAAAGGCCCACAGGAGGGUUGAUACAGCAACCACAUCCCUGUCAUUCACCAACGCUUAAUGUCUGGCACAUAGAGGUGCCAGUAAAUAUUGAAUGAUUAGGAUCAGUAACUCAAAAUAAGUCUACAGGGCAAUACAGGAACAGGGGUAGGGAGGUAAAAAAAAAAAUUGGAGCUGAUCAGAGCAUGGGAAGAGGGCAAAGCAAAUGGAGACGGUGGUGAGGGACCUUUGGAAGCUGAGGGGCUCACAGACUCACAUUACCUUUUCAUUCUUUUCUCCUUCAAAAAUUCAAAGAUGAACAAUUUUUUUUCUCUGAGCAAAUUAUCCCAUUUAAACAUUCAUGAAUUAACCACAUUAACCUACUUUCAAUGCAAAGAAGAAAAAUGGUUUCUGUCUCAUACAUUUCAGCUGUCUUAUUCUCUAUGAAAGAAACUUUACUUCGAAAUGGAAAGUAGGUUUGGGUUCAUCUCUGAUUUUUGACUCACAUUAUACAACCUCUGUGGUUAAGCUGUGAGAAUGUAUAAAAUUCCUGUCAGCCAUUGCUGGGGCUUCAGAGCAUGACUGGGUAGUGCCCAGGUGGGCAGAGCACUGUCUGAUAAUCUUUGCUCCCUAAUAACUGAAAUCCAGAAUAGAUAAUAUUCUCCAUUCAUUCAAAAUGUCUGUCCUGUGCUUCAUGCAGAGGAUACAAACAGAAGAACACUUGGUCCCUGUCUUCAGGGCAUUCACAGGCUUGUCAGUCUGGGCAUUAGAGAGGAUAAAAAAUGAACCAAGCAAUAAUCAAUGGGAAAAAGCUGUUUCAUGCCUUAACAUGACAUAAAUAUAAAAACCAUACAGGGAACAACAGAUGAAAAUAAAAACACGAAGGCUACAAUAAAUGCCAGUGACAAAAACAAAGGCACUGUUCAGUUCUACUUAACAGCAGACAGAUUUAGGAAUCAAACCCUGACACAUUUUAAGGUUCUAGGUCUACUGUUUAAAAAAUCCAAAAUAUGUUAUCCAAGUCUGAAUACAUUAAUGAGACACUGUAAAAGCUUUUAGCUGUAAGGUAUUAUUACUGUGUCAGUCAGAGUCCUUGAAGAAAACAGAAGACACAUUUAAACUGGGAUUACUUAAGGAGAGUUUAAUAAAGGGAACCUGACCCACUCAUUCUACAUGGAUUUUCUACAUAAAAAGAUUUGGUCCUGAAUUUGUGAAAGAGCCCGUUUUCUGCACUAGAGGGACUAUUUCUUCCUUAAUAUGCUUUCUGGCUGUAUGUAUGUACGUAUUUAUUUUUUGAGACAGAGUCUUGCUCUGUCACUCAGGCUGGAGUGCAGUGGUGCAAUUACACCU